RNAcentral lists this non-coding RNA (94 nucleotides) under Desulfobacter sp. RNAcentral describes it as "Desulfitibacter sp. c-di-GMP sequence". It matches the Rfam family "c-di-GMP-I riboswitch aptamer". From Rfam's summary of the family: GEMM was predicted in a large-scale screen for bacterial structured RNA regulatory elements. Genes associated with GEMM are involved in a diverse array of functions, including chemotaxis regulation, signal transduction, secretion and chitin. The record is from RNAcentral. Lineage: Bacteria; Pseudomonadati; Thermodesulfobacteriota; Desulfobacteria; Desulfobacterales; Desulfobacteraceae.
AAAAUUUUUGGGCAAAACCAUCGAAAGAUGGUGACUGCAAAGCCAUUGGGUCUAAAGCUCUAAUUAGUAGGGUUACGAUAGCCAGGUUGCCAUU